ACUCACUCACUCGCACACAAGCACUCCAUGACUUCUGAGGUCCACUGUAUUAGGGAUUAAGGGAGUUGGUGGCUAUUUGGCGAAGACAAACAGCGCACUCAGAAUAAUAAGCCUCUAGCCCCACACCUCUCUGUUCCUCAUGGGGCAGUGGGGAAGAACUCCUCAUCCUCUUCUCUCCUUUCCUUCUCUCCUUUCCUUGCCCCAAGGCACAGACUAAAACUAAAACAGUAAACACUUACCACUCUACACCGCUGGAGGAAAGUAAACAGCUUGGUUUUCCCUGCUGUUCAGAGAUGUUGGUGCUCUGUAUAAGCCUCCCAUAGAGAAGCGUCCUGCUGAUCUACACUGGAGGACAAUUCAAGGGGCUAUCGCUACCAAACAGAUACAGUUGAAGACGGAAGUUUACAUACACUUAGGUUGGAGUCAUUAAAACUCGUUUUUCAACCACUCCACACAUUUCUUGUUAACAAACUAUAGUUUUGGCAAGUCGGUUAGGACAUCUACUUUGUGCAUGACACAAGUAAUUUUUCCAACAAUUGUUUAUAGACAGAUUAUUUCACGUAUAAUUCAAUGCAUCACAAUUCCAGUGGGUCAGAAGUUUACAUACACUAAGUUGACUGUGCCUUUAAACAGCUUGGAAAAUUCCAGAAAAUGAUGUCAUGGCUUUAGAAGCUUCUGAUAGGCUAAUUGACAUCAUUUGAGUCAAUUGGAGGUGUACCUGUGGAUAUAUUUCAAGGCCUACCUUCAAACUCAGUGCCUGUUUGCUUGAUGUCAUGGGAAAAUCAAAAGAAAUCAGCCAAGACCUCAGAAAAGAAUUGUAGACCUCCACAAGUCUGGUUCAUCCAUUCCAGAUGCCUGAAGGUACCACGUUCAUCUGUACAAACAAUAGUACGUAAGUAUAAAC
RNAcentral lists this long non-coding RNA (904 nucleotides) under Salmo salar (Atlantic salmon). RNAcentral describes it as "lncRNA (ENSSSAG00000103866.1)". The record is from RNAcentral. Lineage: Eukaryota; Metazoa; Chordata; Actinopteri; Salmoniformes; Salmonidae.